This 463-nucleotide ribosomal RNA is filed under the name Oedipoda caerulescens. Its description in RNAcentral is "partial 16S ribosomal RNA". It matches the Rfam family "Archaeal large subunit ribosomal RNA", at positions 1999 to 2669 of the family's 2987-position model. The record is from RNAcentral. Lineage: Eukaryota; Metazoa; Arthropoda; Insecta; Orthoptera; Acrididae.
UUUGAAGAGCCGCGGUAUUUUGACCGUGCAAAGGUAGCAUAAUCAUUAGUUUCUUAAUUGGAUGCUGGAAUGAAUGGUUUGACGAGAAAUUAACUGUCUCUUAAUAAAUUAUAAAAUUUAACUUUUAAGUUAAAAGGCUUAAAUAUAUCUUUAGGACGAGAAGACCCUAUAGAGCUUAACAUUAAAAUUUUGUGUUUUAUCUUGUUUAUCUUUCUAUAAUAAAUUUUAAUGUUUGGUUGGGGUGACAUAAAGAAUAAAUAAACUCUUUAUUAUAAAAUCAUUAAUUUAUGUUUAUUUGAUCCAUAAUUUAUGAUCAUAAGAUUAAGUUACCUUAGGGAUAACAGCGUAAUCAUUUUUGAGAGUUCUUAUCAAUAAAAUGGGUUGCGACCUCGAUGUUGGAUUAAGAAUAAUAUUGGGUGUAGUAGCUUAAUAAUUAGGUCUGUUCGACCUUUAAAUUCUUACG